GAUGAACGCUGGCGGCGUGCCUAAUACAUGCAAGUCGAGCGAACGGACGAGAAGCUUGCUUCUCUGAUGUUAGCGGCGGACGGGUGAGUAACACGUGGAUAACCUACCUAUAAGACUGGGAUAACUUCGGGAAACCGUAGCUAAUACCGGAUAAUAUUUUGAACCGCAUGGUUCAAAAGUGAAAGACGGUCUUGCUGUCACUUCUAGAUGGAUCCGCGCUGCAUUAGCUAGUUGGUAAGGUAACGGCUUACCAAGGCAACGAUGCAUAGCCGACCUGAGAGGGGGAUCGGACACACUGGAACUGAGACACGGUCCAGACUCCUACGGGAGGCAGCAGUAGGGAAUCUUCCGCAAUGGGCGAAAGCCUGACGGAGCAACGCCGCGUGAGUGAUGAAGGUCUUCGGAUCGUAAAACUCUGUUAUUAGGGAAGAACAGAUGUGUAAGUAACUGUGCACAUCUUGACGGUACCUAAUCAGAAAGCCACGGCUAACUACGUG
This 497-nucleotide ribosomal RNA is filed under the name uncultured bacterium. RNAcentral's name for it is "partial 16S ribosomal RNA". It matches the Rfam family "Bacterial small subunit ribosomal RNA", at positions 28 to 507 of the family's 1533-position model. The record is from RNAcentral.